RNAcentral lists this long non-coding RNA (128 nucleotides) under Callithrix jacchus (white-tufted-ear marmoset). RNAcentral's name for it is "lncRNA (ENSCJAG00000071728.1)". The record is from RNAcentral. Lineage: Eukaryota; Metazoa; Chordata; Mammalia; Primates; Cebidae.
GUGACAGAACCACUGGUUCUUCAACAUGGCAAAUGUUGCUCAAAACUUACUCUUGGACACAAAACAGGGAGAAGAAUCACGAAAGAGGAAAGAUGCUCAUCACCAGGCAGCAGCCCCAGCAGUGCAAC